UAGUUAUUAAUUUAAUUAAAAUAUUAAUUUUGUAAAUUAAAUAUAAGAAAAUUCUUAUAACUAA
RNAcentral lists this transfer RNA (64 nucleotides) under Trichomalopsis sarcophagae. Its description in RNAcentral is "tRNA-Thr". The record is from RNAcentral. Lineage: Eukaryota; Metazoa; Arthropoda; Insecta; Hymenoptera; Pteromalidae.